AUUGAACGCUGGCGGCAUGCCUUACACAUGCAAGUCGAACGGCAGCACGGACUUCGGUCUGGUGGCGAGUGGCGAACGGGUGAGUAAUGCAUCGGAACGUGCCAUUGAGUGGGGGAUAACGUAGCGAAAGUUGCGCUAAUACCGCAUAUUCUGUGAGCAGGAAAGCAGGGGACCGCAAGGCCUUGCGCUCUUUGAGCGGCCGAUGUCAGAUUAGCUAGUUGGUGAGGUAAAGGCUUACCAAGGCGACGAUCUGUAGCGGGUCUGAGAGGAUGAUCCGCCACACUGGAACUGAGACACGGUCCAGACUCCUACGGGAGGCAG
RNAcentral lists this ribosomal RNA (321 nucleotides) under uncultured bacterium. RNAcentral's name for it is "bacterial SSU rRNA". It matches the Rfam family "Bacterial small subunit ribosomal RNA", at positions 30 to 351 of the family's 1533-position model. The record is from RNAcentral.